AACGAACGCUGGCGGCAUGCCUAACACAUGCAAGUCGAACGAGACCUUCGGGCCUAGUGGCGCACGGGUGCGUAACGCGUGGGAACCUGCCCUUAGGUUCGGAAUAACUCCCCGAAAGGGGUGCUAAUACCGGAGAAUGUCUUCGGACCAAAGAUUGUUGGCCUUUGGCUGGGCCUGUGUUAGAUUAGUCGGUUGGUAAGGUAAAAGCAUAUCAAGGCGAGGAUCCAUGGCUGGUCGGAGAGGCUGACCAUGCAGGCUGGCGAUGAGACACGGCCUAGACUCCGACGGAAGGCAGGAGUGGGGAAUAUUAGAGGAUGGGCGAAAGCGUGAUCCAGCAAUGCCGCGUGAGUGAUGAAGGCCUUAGGGUUGUAAAGCUCUUUUACCCGGGAUGAUAAUGACAGUACCGGGAGAAUAAGCACCGGCUAACUACGUG
Molecule: ribosomal RNA, 433 nt
Filed under: uncultured bacterium
Lineage: Bacteria
Description: partial 16S ribosomal RNA
Rfam family: Bacterial small subunit ribosomal RNA
Source: RNAcentral